Molecule: long non-coding RNA, 2219 nt
Organism: Gossypium raimondii (Peruvian cotton)
Lineage: Eukaryota; Viridiplantae; Streptophyta; Magnoliopsida; Malvales; Malvaceae
Exons: 2
Source: RefSeq, a predicted model, not a curated record
UUGAUUUCAAUCUUGUAAUUUAAAACAAUGUAUCAAAGUAGUUAGAUAAAUAUUCAUUAUUGGCCUAUAAUUGAUUAUGAUGCAUAUAUCCCACCAAUAGGAAUACUUAUCUAUUAUUUUUGUAUCAGUCAUUUGCUAAACUUGAUAAAUAAUAAACUCAAGUGGUUUCUUACAAAGCUUCAUAUAUAUUAAGCUCUAUUUUACUUUUAUUCAAUUUCUUUUGUUCUAAUGUUAUCCUCAUUUCAUUUUAUAAAUUAUCUGAAUAAAAGAACUUAAAGAUCCUUACGGAUUUCCAGUAAAUAUCCUCAUUAAGUCAACCUCUCCUCCUCAUCGGUGUGCUUCUUCUUCUUGGGUUAUCAACAGGUUCUGUUCUCCUUUUCUCUGUCUAUUGUUUUUGUUGAUCGUGAUUUGUUCUUGGGUGUGCCUCUCCUCCUCUGGUGUUUUUGCUCCUGUAUGUUUUAUAUUGAAGGAUCUUGUUAAUUUGUUGCAAAGGUGUCAAGCAAAAUGCUCCUGCAUGAAUAGAUUUUGGUCUUAGGUUUGCUAGAUCUUCUUCCCUAAUCUGUUUAAUCGUCUCCCUAAUUUUAAACAAUCUAAUUAGCUUGCUAAAAAAUUACAGCCUUGUUCGUCACCUGUUCUCGCGAUUCAUCGAAGGUUCGACGAAUGAAGUAGGAUUGAACUGGUAAUUUUUGAGCUUAAACUGGCUUUACUGUGUUAAAUGGAGCAUUUCAUUUGAUGAAACUAGAUUUUGUUAGUCAAAAAAAUGAAGAAACAUUGAGGAAUUUAACUGAAAUAAUAUUGGUUUUUUUCUCGUUUGAUUCAAUCUUGGCUUGGAUUUAAUUGAAGUAAGGAAAGUGAAGUUGAAUUCAAUUAUUCGUAUCCUUGUGCCAUGAUAAAAAAUGCUAGGAACACAAGAGCGCAGAAAAUCGAGUUGUCACCUAUUGCAUACUGUGAAUUUCCAUGCUGUGAAUUUCUAGGCAUUGUAACUUCACCUGUCUGCUGUUGUCUAAAGUUGUGCAUUUGUUCAGUACCUAGGCGAAAAUUGAGUUGUCACCUAUUGCAUACUUUAGCUUUGCAGCAAUUUUUUGUUUCAAAACGAGUGAUGUAGGAUAAGGCUUUAGCUUUGCAAAAUGUUGUGUGUUUCAAAACAAGUGAUGUAAGAUAAGUAAGGAGAAGAGAUAGACUAUUGGGAAAAUCUGAAAUUGACUGGUAAUAAUGUGUGAGGAGCAGACAAAAUUGGGAGGAAACAAAAGAAAUAUAUAGAGAACAUCGAAAAGGAAUCAACACAGUAAGGAAUCAAACUCAGUGAGAUUGAUAUUAUUUAGAAUUUUUAGAAUCAAUUAGCACCUCUCGUAUGUAUAUAUUAUUUUUGUGUAUUAAAUAAGAAUUACAACCCCAUGCGAAUGUUUAACAUCACCCAUCAACGACAUUAUAAAUUAUUAAGUAAACAUACGUUUAUUAUUUGAGGUUUACGCAUGUACUUAUGUUUACAACUUGAGAAUUUAAUAAUGGAUUAAAUCGGCAUAAUGUCAAUAAUGAAAUGCAUUUUCUAAUGAGUAUUCGACGUCACCAUAAGCCAUAAGCCAUUUUCAUCUUAUAGCAAUAACACAAGGCAUAGCAUUGACAUAUAUACUGAUAUAUAAAUAAAUUUUUAAUUUAUUGAUAUAUAUUAUAUAUCUUUUUAGUCUGUUGCUCAGCUGGAGGUAUAGCAAAACAAAUGGCAGUGUUCUUCUGCUAGAGUUUGGUUAUUUUGCUGAAAUUUAUUUAUUGGGCUAACUUUUUUGAGCUAUGAAUCUUAAGUCAUAAUGUGUUAAUGAUAUGGUUGUAAAAGGUUUUUCCACACAUAAACCCUGAUUUCUAACUUUAUCAAUCUCUGAUUCAUGAUUCUGAUUCUGAUUCUGAUAUGCUUGUUUUAUUAAAUUUGUGCUGCAGAGAUGGGCAAAUAGCGUUAGUAGCAAUUUUUGUUUUGAUGCAUGAGAGGUAAAUUGAAUUGGUGGUUCAAUCGUGAUUUUACAUUCAUAUGGGUUUUAUUCGCAAGUGCCUUGAGUAAACUAUUAUAGUAGAUUGUUUAUUUUAAAUGUAGUAGUUGAUCCUCAUAUAUGAGGGGAAGAGAUUAAUAUAUUUUGAAUUUGACUUGCUGCAUGCAGUAAUUCUGUAGCUAAGGAGCGAAAACGUGCUCUAAUUCUAUGCUGGUUUAAGUAAAGAGUGUUAUUAACAAUCAA